GGGUUGUGAGGUUAAGCGACUAAGCGUACACGGUGGAUGCCCUGGCAGUCAGAGGCGAUGAAGGACGUGCUAAUCUGCGAUAAGCGUCGGUAAGGUGAUAUGAACCGUUAUAACCGGCGAUUUCCGAAUGGGGAAACCCAGUGUGAUUCGACACACUAUCAUUAACUGAAUCCAUAGGUUAAUGAGGCGAACCGGGGGAACUGAAACAUCUAAGUACCCCGAGGAAAAGAAAUCAACCGAGAUUCCCCCAGUAGCGGCGAGCGAACGGGGAGCAGCCCAGAGCCUGAAUCAGUGUGUGUGUUAGUGGAAGCGUCUGGAAAGGCGCGCGAUACAGGGUGACAGCCCCGUACACAAAAAUGCACAUGCUGUGAGCUCGAUGAGUAGGGCGGGACACGUGGUAUCCUGUCUGAAUAUGGGGGGACCAUCCUCCAAGGCUAAAUACUCCUGACUGACCGAUAGUGAACCAGUACCGUGAGGGAAAGGCGAAAAGAACCCCGGCGAGGGGAGUGAAAAAGAACCUGAAACCGUGUACGUACAAGCAGUGGGAGCCUCUUUUAUGGGGUGACUGCGUACCUUUUGUAUAAUGGGUCAGCGACUUAUAUUCUGUAGCAAGGUUAACCGAAUAGGGGAGCCGAAGGGAAACCGAGUCUUAACUGGGCGUUAAGUUGCAGGGUAUAGACCCGAAACCCGGUGAUCUAGCCAUGGGCAGGUUGAAGGUUGGGUAACACUAACUGGAGGACCGAACCGACUAAUGUUGAAAAAUUAGCGGAUGACUUGUGGCUGGGGGUGAAAGGCCAAUCAAACCGGGAGAUAGCUGGUUCUCCCCGAAAGCUAUUUAGGUAGC
This 844-nucleotide ribosomal RNA is filed under the name Escherichia coli. Its description in RNAcentral is "partial 23S ribosomal RNA". It matches the Rfam family "Bacterial large subunit ribosomal RNA", at positions 1 to 878 of the family's 2925-position model. The record is from RNAcentral. Lineage: Bacteria; Pseudomonadati; Pseudomonadota; Gammaproteobacteria; Enterobacterales; Enterobacteriaceae.